UGCAUUCAUGUAGCACAGUGGUUCUCAACCAGGGGUCCAAGGCCCCCUGGGGAUCAUGAGCAGGUUUCAGACGGUCCACCAAGCAGGGCCAGUGUUAGACUUGCUGGGGCCCAGGGCAGAAAGCCGAAGCCACACCACAUGGGGCU
Non-coding RNA from Chelonoidis abingdonii (Abingdon island giant tortoise), 146 nucleotides. The record is from RefSeq and is a predicted model, not a curated record. Lineage: Eukaryota; Metazoa; Chordata; Testudines; Testudinidae.